UGKUGAUUAUAAUUUCAAGUYUAGCCUGCCCUGKAAGUWWUGAAUGGCCGCGGUAAAUUGACCGUGCAAAGGKAGCAUAAUYMUUAGUUUUUUAAUUGAAAGCUUGUAUGAAAGGUUUGAUGAGGAAAAUUCUGUCUCUGGAAAAAUUUGUUAGAAUUUUAUUUUUAAGUGAAAAAGCUUAAAUUUAUAUAGAAGACGAGAAGACCCUAUAGAGUUUUAUAUUGGUAUAUUAGGGCUAGUUUUUAGGAUUAGGUGCUUGAUUUUUUAUAUUAAUAUUUUGUUGGGGKGAUGGAAAAAUUUAAGGAACUUUUUUUUUUACAAGAUCAUUUAUUUAUGAGUUAAUGAUCCUGAAGUUUAGAUUAUAAGAUUAAAUUACCUUAGGGAUAACAGCGUGAUUUUUUUUAGAGUUCUUAUCGAAAAAAAAGAUUGCGACCUCGAUGUUGGAUUAAAAUAAAUUAUUGGUGUAGAAGCUAAUAAAUUAGGUCUGUUCGACCUUUAAAAUUUUACA
Molecule: ribosomal RNA, 508 nt
Filed under: Trigonopterus sp. 127 AR-2020
Lineage: Eukaryota; Metazoa; Arthropoda; Insecta; Coleoptera; Curculionidae
Description: partial large subunit ribosomal RNA
Source: RNAcentral